UUGAACAGGUGCUGCAUGGCUGUCGUCAGCUCGUGUCGUGAGAUGUUCGGUUAAGUCCGCUAACGAGCGCAACCCUCGCUGUGUGUUACAAGUGUCACACGGGAACUGCCGGUCAUAAACCGGAGGAAGGUGGGGAUGACGUCAAGGUCAGCAUGGCCUUUAUAUCCUGGGCUACACACACGCUACAAUGGGAAGGGACAAUAGGUUGCGAAGCCGCGAGGCGGAGCCAAUCCAGCAAAACUUCCCUCAGUUCAGAUUGCAGGCUGCAACUCGCCUGCAUGAAGUUGGAGUUGCUAGUAAACGCAGGUCAGCCAUACUGCGUUGAAUACGUUCCCGGGCCUU
Molecule: ribosomal RNA, 342 nt
Filed under: uncultured Anaerolineaceae bacterium
Lineage: Bacteria; Bacillati; Chloroflexota; Anaerolineae; Anaerolineales; Anaerolineaceae
Description: bacterial SSU rRNA
Rfam family: Bacterial small subunit ribosomal RNA
Source: RNAcentral